RNAcentral lists this transfer RNA (78 nucleotides) under Gastroptychus rogeri. RNAcentral's name for it is "tRNA-Trp". Lineage: Eukaryota; Metazoa; Arthropoda; Malacostraca; Decapoda; Chirostylidae. The record is from RNAcentral.
AAGAUUUUAUGUUAAUAAACACUCUCAAACAAUAAACCUUCAAAGUUUAAAAUAAAAGUAAAAUUCUUUUAAAUCUUA